Molecule: non-coding RNA, 199 nt
Organism: Lonchura striata (white-rumped munia)
Lineage: Eukaryota; Metazoa; Chordata; Aves; Passeriformes; Estrildidae
Source: RefSeq, a predicted model, not a curated record
GGGUUAAAGGAAGAAGUACCGCUCCGGCACAGCGCCUUCACCUCACCGCAGAUUCUGUCAACCUACUGAAUCGCUAAUUAUUGUUGGACUUGGAGAAAAAUGGGAAGACAAACUGAAUUUGUGACGUUACAAAUACUGCCGGUGAUUUGGGAGACCCUUCAUCGAAGAAAAAAAUAAAUCAACCAGAGUACAAGCUCAA